CCAAUGCCGUUCAUGACAAGUCUCUGAUGGACGGCUUAAAUCUCAUGAGUGCGCAAAUGGUUCAAACUCAGGAUGCCAAGGGUUCUCGUGCAGUUUCGACCUCAUCUACCUCACAAGCCCCGCCAUCCAUCUCUUGGCCCAAGAAGAAUAACAUUCCUUGAAUGGUUUAAUCAUUUCAUUGCCUUUUAUAACAUUUUCACAUGAAAUAUAUUGUACGCCUUGUCUGGA
This is a long non-coding RNA of Tigriopus californicus, 228 nucleotides long. RefSeq lists it as uncharacterized. The transcript is spliced from 2 exons. The record is from RefSeq and is a predicted model, not a curated record. NCBI's taxonomy places the organism in Eukaryota, Metazoa, Arthropoda, Copepoda, Harpacticoida, Harpacticidae.